This 243-nucleotide ribosomal RNA is filed under the name uncultured bacterium. RNAcentral describes it as "partial 16S ribosomal RNA". It matches the Rfam family "Bacterial small subunit ribosomal RNA", at positions 796 to 1041 of the family's 1533-position model. The record is from RNAcentral.
CACGCCGUAAACGAUGAGUGCUAGGUGUUGGGUGUCAAAGCUCAGUGCCGCAGCUAACGCAAUAAGCACUCCGCCUGGGGAGUACGAUGGCAACAUUGAAACUCAAAGGAAUUGACGGGGACCCGCACAAGCAGCGGAGCAUGUGGUUUAAUUCGAAGCAACGCGAAGAACCUUACCAGGUCUUGACAUCCUCUGACGAGCCUAGAGAUAGGAAGUUUCCUUCGGGAACAGAGAGACAGGUGG